CCUACGGGAGGCAUCAGUAGGGAAUAUUGCUCAAUGGGGGAAACCCUGAAGCAGCAACGCCGCGUGGAGGAUGAAGGUUUUCGGAUUGUAAACUCCUUUUGUUAGAGAAGAUAAUGACGGUAUCUAACGAAUAAGCACCGGCUAACUCCGUGCCAGCAGCCGCGGUCAUACGGAGGGUGCAAGCGUUACUCGGAAUCACUGGGAGUAAGGAGCGCGUAGGCGGGAUAGCAAGUCAGAUGUGAAGUCCUAUGGCUUAACCGUAGAACUGCAUUUGAAACUGUUAUUCUAGAGUAUGGGAGAGGUAGGUGGAAUUCUUGGUGUAGGGGUAAAAUCCGUAGAGAUCAAGAGGAAUACUCAUUGCGAAGGCGACCUGCUAGAACAUAACUGACGCUGAUGCGCGAAAGCGUGGGGAGCAAACAGGAUUAGAUACCCGUGUAGUC
This 440-nucleotide ribosomal RNA is filed under the name uncultured bacterium. RNAcentral describes it as "partial 16S ribosomal RNA". It matches the Rfam family "Bacterial small subunit ribosomal RNA", at positions 338 to 795 of the family's 1533-position model. The record is from RNAcentral.